Anopheles gambiae (African malaria mosquito) is the source of this 1117-nucleotide long non-coding RNA. RefSeq lists it as uncharacterized. Lineage: Eukaryota; Metazoa; Arthropoda; Insecta; Diptera; Culicidae. The transcript is spliced from 5 exons. The record is from RefSeq and is a predicted model, not a curated record.
GCUUGCUGCAGUGUGCUAGUGUAUAACUUAAAAUGUGUAGUUUGUAGUUUGUGCAAGUGAAAAAUAUGUGUUAUUGAAUCUUGACUCAACAAAUUGAAUUUCAUCGUGCCAGUAAUAUCGAAGAUAUAGGAAUUUAUCGUGAAGCCGUGUAAAAAUGGCGUCCAAAAAAAUGCGAAUGGAAGGCAGUCUUUCGAAAAAAACGCCAAAAGUAUUUGGAGCAGUUGGAACGCGAAUGGAGGCACGGCGUCUAACUUGGGAAGCCAUCGACUUUGUAGCCAUCGGCUAAACCAUGCGUGUAGUCCCAAUUUAGCGUACCAGUUGACGCAGAACGGAACGAUAAGCUUCUUAGCGAAGCACCACAUCUACCAAGGGAUGCAGCUAACGAUUGAUUACAGAUUGAUCGAAGAUGACAACUAUUGACACGUCUGUAUGUUGACAUAAGAGCGAUAAUAAGUGCGAGAUAAUGAUAAAGGCAGGUGCGCUUAUCGAUUAAACCGAUAAGCUGAUCGACGGUGCCAUAAAACACCGUAAAGAGCUAGAGAGAGAGAGAGAGAGAGUUAAGCUUGCUGCUUGCUGCAGUGUGCUAGUGUAUAACUUAAAAUGUGUAGUUUGUAGUUUGUGCAAGUGAAAAAUAUGUGUUUUUGAAUCUUGACUCAACAAAUUGAAUUUCAUCGUGCCAGUAAUAUCGAAGAUAUAGGAAUUUAUCGUGAAGCCGUGUAAAAAUGGCGUCAAAAAAAAAUGCGAAUGGAAGGCAGUCUUUCGAAAAAAAACGCCAAUAGUAUUUGGAGCAGUUGGAACGCGAAUGGAGGCACGGCGUCUAACUUGGGAAGCCAUCGACUUUGUAGCCAUCGGCUAAACCAUGCGUGUAGUCCCAAUUUAGCGUACCAGUUGACGCAGAACGGAACGAUAAGCUUCUUAGCGAAGCACCACAUCUACCAAGGGAUGCAGCUAACGAUUGAUUACAGAUUGAUCGAAGAUGACAACUGUUGACACGUCUGUAUGUUGACAUAAGAGCGAUAAUAAGUGCGAGAUAAUGAUAAAGGCAGGUGCGCUUAUCGAUUAAACCGAUAAGCUGAUCGACGGUGCCAUAAAACACCGUAAAGAGCUAGAGAGAGAG